This 253-nucleotide ribosomal RNA is filed under the name uncultured bacterium. Its description in RNAcentral is "partial 16S ribosomal RNA". It matches the Rfam family "Bacterial small subunit ribosomal RNA", at positions 524 to 776 of the family's 1533-position model. The record is from RNAcentral.
UACGUAGGUGUCAAGCGUUGUCCGGGUUUAUUGGGCGUAAAGCGCCCGCAGGCGGCUCGGCAAGUUUCGGGUGAAAUCUCCCGGCUCAACUGGGAGGGGUCUCGAAAAAUUAUCGGGCUUGAGGCAGGGAGAGGGAAGCAGAAUUCCAGGUGUAGCGGUGAAAUGCGUAGAUAUCUGGAGGAAUACCAGUGGCGAAGGCGGCUUCCUGGCCCUGUCCUGACGCUCAGGGGCGAAAGCGUGGGUAGCGAACAGG